RNAcentral lists this ribosomal RNA (253 nucleotides) under uncultured bacterium. RNAcentral's name for it is "partial 16S ribosomal RNA". It matches the Rfam family "Bacterial small subunit ribosomal RNA", at positions 524 to 776 of the family's 1533-position model. The record is from RNAcentral.
UACGUAGGGUGCGAGCGUUAAUCGGAAUUACUGGGCGUAAAGCGUGCGCAGGCGGUUUUGUAAGCCAGAUGUGAAAUUCCCGGGCUUAACCUGGGAAUGGCAUUUGGGACUGCAAGGCUGGAGUGCGGCAGAGGAGACUGGAAUUCCUGGUGUAGCAGUGAAAUGCGUAGAUAUCAGGAGGAACAUCAGCGGCGAGGGCGGCUACCUGGCCCAGUACUGACACUGAGAUGCGAAAGCAUGGGGAUCAAACAGG